RNAcentral lists this ribosomal RNA (811 nucleotides) under uncultured Chloroflexota bacterium. RNAcentral's name for it is "bacterial SSU rRNA". It matches the Rfam family "Bacterial small subunit ribosomal RNA", at positions 548 to 1372 of the family's 1533-position model. Lineage: Bacteria; Bacillati; Chloroflexota. The record is from RNAcentral.
GAUUUACUGGGCGUAAAGCGUCUGCAGGCGGACAGGUAAGUUGGGCGUGAAAGCUCCGGGCCCAACCCGGAGAGGUCGUUCAAUACUGCGUGUCUAGAGGGUGUCAGAGGGGAGUGGAAUUUCCGGAGUAGCGGGUAAAAUGCGCAGAGAUCGGAAAGAACACCAAUGGCGAAGGCAGCUCCCUGGGGCAACCCUGACGCUAAGAGACGAAAGCUAGGGGAGCGAACAGGAUUAGAGACCCUGGUAGUCCUAGCCCUAAACGAUGGAUGCUGGAUGUGGGGCCAUAGCGCUCCGUGUCGAAGCGAACGCGUUAAGCAUCCCGCCUGGGGACUACGGCCGCAAGGUUAAAACUCAAACGAAUUGACGGGACCCCGCACAAGCAGCGGAGCGUGUGGUUUAAUUCGAUGCUACACGAAGAACCUUACCUGGGUUUGACAUCUAGGUGGUAGUGAAGCGAAAGCGGAGCGACCCUUCGGGGAGCCUAGACAGGUGCUGCAUGGCUGUCGUCAGCUCGUGCCGUGAGGUGUCGGGUUAAGUCCCGUAACGAGCGCAACCCUUGCCCUCCGUUAUACGUGUCAGAGGGGACUGCCGGCGGUAAGCCGGAGGAAGGUGGGGAUGACGUCAAGUCAGCAUGGCCUUUAUAUCCAGGGCUACACACACGCUACAAUGGCCAGUACAAAGGGCAGCGAAGCCGCGAGGUGGAGCGAAUCCCAGCAAAGCUGGUCGUAGUUCGGAUUGCAGGCUGCAACCCGCCUGCAUGAAGCUGGAGUUGCUAGUAACCGCGCGUCAGCCAUAGUGCGGUGAAUACGUU